RNAcentral lists this transfer RNA (17 nucleotides) under Myriocoleopsis vuquangensis. RNAcentral's name for it is "Cololejeunea vuquangensis partial tRNA-His". Lineage: Eukaryota; Viridiplantae; Streptophyta; Jungermanniopsida; Porellales; Lejeuneaceae. The record is from RNAcentral.
GGCGGGCGGACGUAGCC